RNAcentral lists this unclassified non-coding RNA (395 nucleotides) under soil metagenome. RNAcentral describes it as "partial contains 5.8S ribosomal RNA, internal transcribed spacer 2, and large subunit ribosomal RNA". The stretch from base 1 to 120 matches the Rfam family "5.8S ribosomal RNA", at positions 35 to 154 of the family's 154-position model. The record is from RNAcentral.
GAUGAAGAACGCAGCGAAAUGCGAUAAGUAAUGUGAAUUGCAGAAUUCAGUGAAUCAUCGAAUCUUUGAACGCACCUUGCGCUCCUUGGUAUUCCGAGGAGCAUGCCUGUUUGAGUGUCAUUAAAUUCUCAACCAUUAUCAACUUUUGCUGAUAAUGGCUUGGAUGUGGGGGUCUAUUUUGCUGGCUUCUCAGAUAGUCAGCUCCCCUUAAAUGCAUUAGCCGGUGCCCCGCGUGGACUGUCUAUUGGUGUGAUAAUUAUCUACGCUAUAGACAUCUGCAAUCAUAUGGGUUUGCGCUGCUUCUAACAGUCUGUUGAUUCAGACAAUACAUGACAAUUUGACCUCAAAUCAGGUAGGACUACCCGCUGAACUUAAGCAUAUCAAUAAGCGGAAGA